RNAcentral lists this ribosomal RNA (253 nucleotides) under uncultured bacterium. Its description in RNAcentral is "partial 16S ribosomal RNA". It matches the Rfam family "Bacterial small subunit ribosomal RNA", at positions 524 to 776 of the family's 1533-position model. The record is from RNAcentral.
GACGAGCCACACAAACGUUAUUCGGAAUUACUGGGCUUAAAGGGUGCGUAGGCGGCGCGGAAAGUUGGGUGUGAAAUCCCUCGGCCCAACCGAGGAAUUGCGCUCAAAACUACCGUGCUCGAGGGAGAUAGAGGAGUGCGGAACUUAGGGUGGAGCGGUGAAAUGCGUUGAUAUCCUAGGGAACACCGGUGGCGAAAGCGGCACUCUGGAUCUCAUCUGACGCUGAUGCACGAAAGCUAGGGUAGCAAACGGG